AAGAUUGCAAAUGAAAUGUAUAUUUCAUUUCAGUAGCAUAUCACGUCAAAUACAAUACAUCAUCUACCGGCUCCACGCAUUAAGGUUCAACGCCUAACAAGGGCACAUCAAAAUAAUUUUACAUGUGCACAAUAGAAUACUUCUGCAAGUGCAAGUGCACAAAAAAAGGACUCAACAAGUGCACAAUCGCACAUAAAGAGAGAUCCACAAAGAUUGGAUGAGAACCACAAGUUUCUUCUCAUCAUCUUCCUCUGCACAAUAUGCUCUUGCCAUUGCCAC
Molecule: long non-coding RNA, 279 nt
Filed under: Hordeum vulgare
Lineage: Eukaryota; Viridiplantae; Streptophyta; Magnoliopsida; Poales; Poaceae
Description: long non-coding RNA (HVUL_LNC021505)
Source: RNAcentral